This 440-nucleotide ribosomal RNA is filed under the name uncultured bacterium. Its description in RNAcentral is "partial 16S ribosomal RNA". It matches the Rfam family "Bacterial small subunit ribosomal RNA", at positions 338 to 795 of the family's 1533-position model. The record is from RNAcentral.
CCUACGGGGGGCAGCAGUGGGGAAUAUUGCACAAUGGGGGAAACCCUGAUGCAGCGACGCCGCGUGAGUGAAGAAGUAUCUCGGUACGUAAAGCUCUAUCAGCAGGGAAGCAAAUGACGGUACCUGACUAAGAAGCCCCGGCUAACUACGUGCCAGCAGCCGCGGUAAUACGUGGGGGGCAAGCGUUAUCCGGAUUUACUGGGUGUAAAGGGAGCGUAGACGGCAGCACAAGUCUGGAGUGAAAUCCCGGGGCUUAACCCCGGAACUGCUUUGGAAACUGUGCGGCUGGAGUGCAGGAGGGGGAAGCGGAAUGCCUGGUGUAGCGGUGAAAUGCGUAGAUAUUAGGAGGAACACCGGUGGCGAAGGCGGCUUACUGGACUGUAACUGACGUUGAGGCUCGAAAGCGUGGGGAGCAAACAGGAUUAGAUACCCGUGUAGUC